RNAcentral lists this ribosomal RNA (253 nucleotides) under uncultured bacterium. RNAcentral describes it as "partial 16S ribosomal RNA". It matches the Rfam family "Bacterial small subunit ribosomal RNA", at positions 524 to 776 of the family's 1533-position model. The record is from RNAcentral.
UACGUAGGUGGCAAGCGUUGUCCGGAUUUAUUGGGUUUAAAGGGUGCGUAGGCGGCCCUGUAAGUCAGUGGUGAAAUACGGCAGCUCAACUGUCGAGGUGCCAUUGAUACUGCGGGGCUUGAGUACAGUCGAGGUAGGCGGAAUUGACGGUGUAGCGGUGAAAUGCUUAGAUAUCGUCAAGAACACCGAUAGCGAAGGCAGCUUACUAGGCUGUAACUGACGCUGAGGCACGAAAGUGCGGGGAUCAAACAGG